UUUUUUUUUUUUUUUUUGUAAUCUGUAUCAUGAGCUGCAAAAUUAUAGGUUAUUUUGUCUUUUUUAAACCAUGUGCUAAAAUAGAUGAGCUUCUCUUUUUCUUUUUCUUUUUUAAAUAAAAGUGGUAUUCAAAAUCAAGAGAUAGUUGGAAUCUUUAAAUGGUGAAAUCCAAAUCGACUUGUGUUUAAGGAUAGGUUAGAAUAAAAUGCUAAGAAAUAACCGAUGGAGCUAUUCUAUAAAUGGGUAACAAACUCGUGUUGAAGGUUAAAAAAUACAUAUUUAUAGAAUCAUUUUUUUCAUAUUCGGAAGAAAAAAGCUGGACCUACUGUAAAAGUUCAAAAACGAUAAUCCAUUUCUUAAAUUGCAUAUUUUUUAUGAAGAAAGUUUAUCCUUUUGCCAAAAAAAAAAAAAAUGUUUACAUAGAGAUCCCUUUUUUUUUCGCAAAACAGAAGGACCCUCUGACCAUUCUAACUCAAAAUACAACCGGGCAGCAGCUUGCAAGGGAGUGCAAGGUUCCCUUGUACCAUUCGUGUGGCAGUAGUUGGUGGUGGGAUAGCCAAAAGACCAAAACACCACCAAUUGAGUCAGCCGAAAGACCAAAAUACCCCUCAACUGAAGCAUGCUUUCUUAUCCAAGAUGAUUGGUCUUUCAUGUUAUCGUUUGUCAAUCUAGGAAUAUCUUUUUCGCAGGAAAAUUAGGAAAGAAUAGUAGUUUGGGAAGGAGACAAAAAAAACGUAAAAAAGAGGGAGUUGUUCCCUUGACUUUGGAGAGUAACAUAUCUGCUUGAGGGGAGACUAUCUAUCCAUCCGUCGUUUGUUCUUUUGGCCAAGGAGCGGAAGGCUUUUUUUUUUCUCUUUUGAUUUUUCGAACGUUCAUGUACUCAACGAUGAGCAACUAAUUUCCUCUCUCUAAUUUGGUUUAACUACAACUGUGAAAUCUUAUUAUUUUUAUUUAUUUUUUUAUUCAUUAAUAUUCAAUGUUUCUGAUUUAAUUUCUUAUGAUUAUUUUGUUAUGUAAAUAUCAUGGGUCUGAUAUUUGAAUUAACCUAAUAAUCAAAUAUCAUAUUAAUUAAUUAAAUCUGUAAUUGUUUGAUUGGUUAAUAUUAGUGACGACUAACGUGAUUAAUUUCAUGUUAGAGAAACAUAUGAUCUAAUUUAAAUAAACCUUGGUUGUGAAUUUAUUGAUUAGAAUAGGAUUUUUCUAGUUUUUAAUACAAUGAAAAAAUUAAAUUCUACGGACGUACCUAGAGUUUUUUUUUAUUAGAAAAGUAAUUAAUGGGCGUGACUUAACUAUCGACACAGUAAGAAAAAUCUGAUGACAAAGCCAUUUGUCAUCACUUAUUUGGCAAUUAUAACCUGCUUGUUAACGAAUAAAUGAAAUAGUUAUUGCAUCAAAUGAACAGUUGUGUGUACCACUUACGAAGUUUCCUUCUUCGCUAGAGUUUGCUUAUUAUUAAAUUAAUUUAAAUUUUCUUUCGUUUGAUUGCUUUUAGUUAAAUUGAUCUUUUUAUUUCAAUAUUUUAAAACACCCAUUUAAUUCUUGUUUGGAAGGAAAUAAAAUUCAGGCCUGUUUGACAAGUGAGUUUUUUGGGUGUUUGUCUAAAACUUUACUAUAGUUUAUUGUAGAAGUUUUUAAAAAAAAUUUUGAAGUAUGUAAAUUUUUGAAUAUUUUGAAAUGUAUAAUUUAAAAACUUUAAAAAUUUUUUUAAAGUUACUGUAGCUAAAUUUUUUAAAAAACUUAUAGCAGAUAAACUUGACAAAAAAUUCAAGUGCCAAACCGGGCCUCAGUUCUUGAGAAAACGAUCCUACUCACCGUGUACUUGAAAUUAAAAUUUUAGAAUAUAAAUUUUAAUUUCGGUGAUUUGAUACCCAUCAUAGCAUGGUCAGAUGUUCUGUUCUAGAAGAAUAGAAAAGACUAGACAAUCAAACGAGCACUCAAUUUCAACAAAUUGAUUACGAUUGUUCUGGUAACAAUCAAGCUAUGUCAGCAGUUAUUGAAGGCAAGUCAUAAUGUGAGCAGCCAGAAGAAACAAUUGAAAGGGAUCGUUCUAGGGUAGGUACGCUUUGACCGUGCGCCUACCGUGGGAACGUGCUCAGAGAUGGACACAUGUACUGAUCACUAAUGUAGUGGACCUUGUAGAGGAAAAUUGUCAUUAGAAGUCAGGUUAUUAUCAUUUUACUCCUUAAACUAUAUUACUAUUAUCAAUUUAUCUUAUUAUGUUAUCUUUUAGUCAUUUCACCUAGGGGUGGCAAUUUUCGACACGACCUGAAAACAAAACACGAACCUAACACGAAAUUAAUGGGUUUGGGUUGAGGUUUCGGGAAUUCGGGUCAGAAUCGGGUUGGACCCGAUGAACCCGAAAAGAAAACAGGUCGAUUUCGGGUCAACCCGUGGUGACCUGAUAUGACCCGAUAUGACCCAUUAACGAAUUAAAAAUAAUUUAAUAAACAUAAAAAUAAUUUAAUCUAACUAAACUAAGUUAUUCUUUUUUUCAAAGGCAUUAAUUACUUAAUUCUAAAUGAAUUUAUUUAAUUUGUGUGAAGUUGAAAUUAUUAUAUUUGGACAAAUAAUAUAUUAUAUUAUUUUUUACUUUUAUGCUGUUUUAAUUUAUUUUAUAUUUUGUUUGGGAUAAAACACUUUUACGGUAUUUAAUUUAUUUUAGAUUUGGUUUGGAAUUAUUUAUUUAAAUUUUUAUUACUUGAUUAUGUAAUUAGUUUUAUGAGAAAUUGAUUUUAUUAGAAAUUACAGUGAUAAAUUAAUAAAUUAAAAUUAAGUUUCGGGUCAUUUCGGGUCGACCCGCCAACCUGAAAUUUUCGGGUUCGGGUCAGCAUACCUGACCCGUCACGGGUUGGCGGGUCGGGUUCGGGUCGACAGAUUUUCUGACGGGUUGACCCGAACCCAACUCGCCAACCUGAUUUGGACCCGAAUUGCCACCCCUAAUUUCACCUUAUAGAAAAUUCAACUGUUGAUAAAUUUUUGAUAAAAAUAUCUUUUAUUUUAUAGUAUUACUAUAUUGUUAUUAUCACUUUAUCCCUUUAAAUUAUAGUGAUGUAGUCGCUUUACUAUCUUCUAGAUGUUUUACCCUAUCAUUAAUCUAAAAAAUAUGUUAAAAUAUGGUUAAAUGUAUUUAUUUUUUAUAUAUAAUUAAAAAUAAAAAGUUGAAAUAAUUAUUCUUCCUUUUUUUCACUCUAAGAUUCCAAAAACAUAAAAAUAAAAAUGUAUUCUCAAAUUUCUUUUUUCACACUUAUUAUACUUGAAAAAGAAAAGUAGAUAGGACAGAAGUAGACAAAAAUUAGAUUUUGCAAAGAAAAAAAAUAAAAAAAUCUAAUACUAUCGUAUUACUUUAAUGUCUUAGGGAUUAGGAUUGAAAUUGGGUAAUAAACAGAAAAAUAAAUUAAUUUUAAAAUAAUAAAAUUAUUGAAUUCUUUCUUGUUUGUAUUAAAAAAAGAAGUGAGCUCUCUCUCUCGCCACUCUAAAUUUUUUUUUUAUAUAAAAAAAUGAGGGUACUAUUUUCUAAAGUUUUUUAACUUGUUAAAUUGGUUUAAUGGUGGAAUAAAUUGACUAAAAAAUAAUUUUAUGGGGUAAAUUCAUAAUAAGAUUAUAAUUUAUGGGGAUAAAGUGAUAUUAAUUUUAAAAGUUAAACAUGUCUUAUCAUUUGAAUUAAUAAAUCGUUAAGUUUAAUCGUUAGCUUUGGAAGUAAAAUGACUAAAAAAUAACGUUAAAGAGAAAAUUGAUAGUGACGCCAAAUGUUAAGGAGAUACCGAGAUAGGAAGGAUUGAGUGAUAAUAACCCUUAGAAGUCACACGCGCAUGCCCAACUCGGGGUGGGUCGUGUGGUGUGUUGCUCCUCUUUAGGAUAUGGCCACCAAGGAUCGAGUUUCAAAAUUAAUGUGUUCGAGAGGAAUGGGUCUCUCUUUUCGGGCCGCAGGAGAUUAGUCGGGUCGAAAGUCCAGAUACUCCUGUGUAAAAAAAAAGAAAAAAAAAGUCACGCCCAUGAAUUGAGUGCAAGAACCAAUGGAUUUCGAGGACAGUAAACUGCAAUAAAACAUGUCUGGUGGCGGGGAGGAUGUACAUGUGCCUCUUUAAGUACAAUGAAAUACCGCCUUCUUUCUCUGAUGGGAGCCUUUUCUCUCUUGGAGAAAGAGCUUUUCUCUACUUAGGUAGGAGUUUCAAACUCUCAAAAAAACCUCAAAUUCAAAAUCCUUCAAAAGUUCAAGACCCUUCAAAAUUCAAGAACCAAUUGGACACCCAGAUCUGCUACAAUUUCAGCGAACAAGAAACAUUAAGGCAAACGACACGGUAGAUCUGGUGAGGCUGCCAUCAAAACAGAAGAAAUACAACCACAAAGGGAACAUAUGGAGAAAAGAUGAAUUAAUGGCAAACAAAAAGGACCACAAGCACUAAGAGAGAGAGCCAGGAAACCACUAUCAUGGGACGGACCACGGGCAGGAACGGUUGCUAGCGGUUUUGUGCAUUUUACACACCGCGUAAUUUUGUUUGCAUAUGGCGUAACUUUAUUUGCACAACGUGUAACUUUAAAACAAAAUUUUGUGAGUCUCACACACGUUAUAAGAAUCAAUGUAUAAAAAAGUGAUCUAGAUCUUAUAAUUUUUUGUGACCAAAUCUUGGCUCUUAACUGCUCCUCUUCUAGAUGAUCGCUCCUGCCCCUCAUCCAUCACGGGACAUGUGGAAGACUGAUUCAGCUCACAUAAAAAAAUCCCUCGGGUAAUUGGUCUUGAAUCCUUGGCUGCUUUCUCUUCAUUUAUUCCUGCAUUUAUGACUCUUUUAGCUUCUGUCAGUCUACUAGUUGGACAUGAGUUCUCUUCCUAACUUUUCCUUUAGAAUUCUAGAAGAGUUACCUAGGUUCUGUCAGUAUAGUUGGUUUUGAUCUACCUUUUCGUCUUAGUUGUCCUAACAUACUCCCAAUAGUCCUGCCCUAGCUGGAGUACAGGAAGUUCUGCUCCUCUUUUUGCAGAUUUGGUUAGCUCCCAACACUGAGUGCUUAGGCUGAAAUUCCCACUAGUAUCCUAAUCAAAAUGGCAGAUAAGAUAUAAUGCAGAAAUUUGCUCUAAACAACAUGGAAUCUGUCGGAACUGAUCUAGACAGUGGGGAUCUGAGACCUGGACUUGUUGAAAGGUAAACAUUCUUCAAUUGAGAUAAAAGUAUUCGAGGAAAAGAAAAGGAAAAAGAUGAAAAACGUUCCACUUGUUUCUUGCAGCCAAAAAGAAGAGGUGCCUAAUGACUGCUAACUCGUCUUCUGCUUGGAGAGAGAGAGAAUAAAGAAAACGAUAAUGCCUGUCCCUUUUUUUCAUUUCCUACUAACACUGAACUACUCCUAAUUCAAAUCAAAUUGUUCCAACUAUGUUAACGAAAAGGAAGAGUCAACAUAGACAAAAUAGUCUAGCUUUCUAGUAGGGAUAAAAUAUUUUAUCCCUGUGGUGGAACAUCUGAUUCAUAUGACUUCAACUCGCGACUGGAUAUUACGCGCCAGCUCUUGAGUUUUCCGGAUGUGCAUAAUUUUUAACUUUGACGUGCUUACACCGGACAACAAGUUGAGUAAAUAAUCACGCUUUUUUAUUAUUUUUUUGUUCCAAAUCCCUACAAUCGACAAUAAUUAUCAAAAAUAAAUAGAAUAUACCAAUUAACUCAAUAUUUGAUAAAAUAAAAGAGAUAAAUCAUUAUGAAAUUAAUAACAAAAAUGCAACGUAUCAAUAAUAGGGAAAGUGAAAGGGGAGAAAACGGGGAACUACACAGACAUGAAAAUUUUUGUGGUUAGUGUGUGGAACUACCCAAAGGACCCUGGAGUGGCAGAACUGGGACCAAACCUAUUCCAAUUUACAAUCCCGGAUGAGAAAUGAAGAACAAGGAUACUCACAGGGGGACCAUGGAUCUUGCACAAUCAAAUCCUAGAACUCAAUGAGUGGUAUAAAGGAAUUGAGGAGGAUGAAACUACAUUUCAUGUUGCACCAUUGUGGAUACAAGUUUGGAACUUGUGUCUACACUGAAUUUUCAUGAGGUCAAGGACGUGAUCAUCCCCCAAACAAGUGGGAAGGAAGGGAGACACUUAAAGUUGCUGGCUCUGGUGGACAUCUCCCAAUUACUGAUGAGAGGAACCACUGUCAGAAUGAAUGGAAUAAUCAAAUGGGCAAAAUUUAAAUAUGAAAGAUGCCCAGACUUUUGUUACCAUUGUGGGAUUACAGGACAUAGUGAGAGGACUUUGCAAGGUACACAUGAAUAUCCAACAUGAACAGCAGGAAAACCAAUAUGGUCCAUGGAUGAGAGCUUCAAAUGAAAGGGUGUCACCUCAGAAAGAGACAAUAGUGAACAACUAUGGCUCGAACAAGGUUCACCGGGGAGUACAAAAUGGGGAAUUAGUCAAGAGAGACAUGAGGAAUGCAACAACUAGCAAGAUGAGGCCCAGCAGUCAUGAGCGGGUCCCUUCAUGACUGCUCAAAUUUCUAAAACCACUUAAAGACAAGCAAUAAAAUGGACCCUUUAUGACUAUCCUAAUUUCUAAUAUUAAUACCAAAAAAAGAUAAACAACAAAAGGGUCCAUUUACGGCUUUCUUGGACCCGUGGCAAUAAUUCUUUAAUUUUCUCCCCCUCAAAUUCUAGAAUCUCCAUUGUUUGACCAAAUUUUAAAGUAAUUGCUGGAAAAUAAAUGUAAUUUGUAGUUCACAUAUGGUAGGUCUCUUUUUUAAAAAAAAAUUUAUUUACAAAAACUUGUGUAAGUUCGAUUUGCAGUCUAUUUAUCGACUAUAUAACAUAUAAUAUAUGCAAUAAUCACAUGAAUUUUCUGACUUUUAUCAUCCUUCAUUCAUCAUCAAUUCUCUUACACAACCUUACUCAAAGUGACCAUUGCAUAUAGCACAUUAUAUGCAAGAACAUCCACAAGCAUAUUCGUUCAACCAAGUCUAAACAAGUUUAUUUAAAAACAAUAACAAGAAUUGUAACUCAAUAAUACUACAAACUAAUCGAAACUUAACUUGCAAUUGGGUUUGAUGAUAUGGUGGAAAGGAUUGUAAAUAGGAGAUCAUUAGUUAUAGACCUCUCACUUACAAAAAAAAAAAUUAAAAUGGUGUAAUGAAUAUGAAGAUAUAAUAAACAUAUGAAUUUUUUUAAGCAAAUUUCAAAAUAAUAGCUUCCACCAAUUAACAAGUCUAUUAUUUAAAUUACUAGGAGAGGAAUGCCUGCGCAUCGCGGGAGUAUUUGGUACUUGUGGUUAAAGAAGAUUUUUCAUUGGACAAAUAAUAAUACAUUUUGAAAAGAAACAGUUAUGAAAUAUGACAAAAAAAAGUUUGGAAUUCAUUGUCCAGUUCUAAAGAAGCUAGAGUCUGAUACUUUAUAUAUAUAAAACGUGUUCAACACCAACAUAUAGUUUGAGUAUUUGUCCGCGCAUCACACUUAUGAAGUCCUAAAGGGCAGAAGAAUAAACUAUGAAGAAAUACCUUGGAAUCUGGGACACCCUCAAGAGUCUCCUUCUCUAAUAAAAGCGCAACAAAUCCAACAAUAUUCUUUGCUUUCCUAUAUGUUUCAACAGCUUAACAGUUCACCAAACAAUUGACUUCCGCCAUUUCUAACAUAUGUAGUUUACAAUAUUUUUUUUCCUUUUUCACGGCUCAACUAACAAUUGCCUUCCAAUCUACGAAAGUAAGAAAAAAUACAAAGAGCAAAACAAGUAGUCAUGGGGUGAGAUUCUUGCCAGCUAGGUAGUAGUAAAUUUUGUAGAACCAUCAGAUCCCUAGGCCAUCAUGGUUACCCUCACCGUUCUUCCUGCCUUUGUCCAAGUUCAUUUGCAGCAUCACUCCAUCCUCUGUUCCUUCUCUUCCCCAUUGCAACUGCUAAACACAGCAAGUCAAGUUUCAUUAGAAACAAAAGAAAAUAGAUGUGAUCAAACAAAAACAAAAAGUAAUAUAGUAGAUUAAAUGAUUAGGUUUGGUGGAUUUUGGGCUUAUGUUCGGUGCAUUCAAAUGUUUCUACUAUAGGCAAUUUGAGACUUUGUGGCGGCGGUGAUAGGGUGUUAAUUGUUGGUUAUUUUAUUGUUAAUUUUUUCCUUUAUUCUUACCAAAUAUUGUUUUAAUUAUUAAUAUUUACUUAUAUUUGGUAUUGGACUCAAUUUCAGGAAGUGAAACAGAAAACUACAAAAAUGAGGGACUUUUUGGAGAUAAUUGGGAUUUCAAACAACCGGGCCCACAUGGUGCUACAAAGAGAUUGUAUUUCCUUUGCUGAUUAGGAGAUUGGAGUCCUACGGGCAAUAGGAAACUAAAAGCAAGGAAUUCGGUAGAGCCCCACCUUUGGUUUGAUUCUCAAUUCCAGCGGGGACCACAGGGAUAAGAAGCUUUAGUCAUUGUUGGCUUUAAAAAGGAGACAAACGUACAGAGAACUCUGAUCAAUCAAUAGUUUUAGUUUAGGCUUUUAGCAUAGUUUUAGUUUUUCUUUUCUUAGCUUUUUCGCAUGGUUGUUCUCCAUUAAUGAAGGACUAACCUCUUAAUUCUAGUCAAGGGGACAACUGAAGACUUGGUUCAACAAUUACUGUGAGAUCGAAAUUAUUUUAAUCGCUUCCUCAUUUAUUGGUAUUCAUGUGUUUCCUGUUUUUAAUUGUUAUAGUCCUUAUGUAUGAUUGAUUAGUGCGCAAUAAUUAAUUAUUCAUAUAGGUUAUUUUGCUAAAUAGAGGUAAUUGAAUCCGUAAUUGUUCGUUAUCUCUAUCUUAGUAGCAACUGGCGUAAUUGGGUUUAUGUCAGGGGAGCAUACGAUCUAGUUUAAACAAACCCUCGUAGCGUGCCCACGCCAGAGGGAAAGAAAUUUUCGUUCAAGAUCUGCGGACUCUAUAGCAGUUAGACGUGCCCACGCUAGGUGGUCACGCUAACGGAUCGAGAAUUUUCGUCGGAUGGUCAAAAGACUAGGGAGCGGUUAGGCAUGCCCAAGCCUAAGCUAGAGAUUCUUUGAAAAAAAAAAUUAAAAAUUUUAUAUUGAGAAAAUUCAAAAACUCAAAAAAAAAAAACAUUUUUUCUUCUUCUUCAAAAAUUCAAAUUUUGGAAUUUCAAAUUCAGGAAAAAAUUUGGAAAAAACAUUGAGAAAAAAAAACCCAAAAACUAUUUUUUUUUUCCUCUUUUUCUUUUUCUCUUUUCUUUCUUUCUUUCUCUUUUAUUCCUCUUUUUCCUCGCUUCCUUCUUCUUCUUCUUUUCUUUUCUUCUUCGACCGAGACCCAAGCCACAGCGCGCCGCAUGCCGCCUGAGCUCAACGCUGCCGCGCCGUCGCGCGCAGCCUCCCCUGCGCAACCUCCACCAGCUCCACUCUCUUGACCACCUCCACCUCAGCUCAACCUCUACCAGCUCGCCAUCGCCGCCGCCGUCCAGCCCUGAGCUCCACCGCACGGUCGCUCCCACCACUGCAGCAGAUCCAGCUCAGCCGCCUGCCCACGCCCCACAGCCCAGCGCCGCAACAGCUUGCUGCUGCCUCCAACCCCACACGACACACAGCGCCCGAACUGCCAUCGCCGAUCGCCGCCAGUCUCCCAGCUCCCCCUCUGCGCUCUCUCCACUUCGUGAACCAGCCGCACUUAAGCUCACCUCCACCAGCUCUCCCUCGCACGCCACUAGCUGCUCCGCUGCUCGCUCCAUUCCCACCUGUCCAAAUUGACAGGUGGAGGUAUUGAACCUUCAACUUCGAUUAGUAUUUUUUUUUUCUUUUUUUUUCUUCUGGUUCUGCUUUUGCUAGAUUUUGCGCUUGUGUGUCUGGGUUUCUUGUUGGAUAACAGAGAGGGUUGUUGUGGGCAUUUUCUAGGGUGAAUUUUGGACAGAUUUGGGUCUAAUUGCUACCAUAUGUGGGGAUAUUUUCUGAUAUUUGUUGAAUUGUUGGCCGUCUGACCUUCCCUAUGUGUAUACCAGUGGUACUGGUUGGAGUGUUUUGUUUACAUUCAUUGAUUUUAUGUGGUCGCCUGUCUGAUUGCGAGCUAAUGACCUUGUACUUCUGUUGUUGUUCGCAAUUUCACCUGUGGUUGCUGAAAUUGCCAAUUUCUGGGGUCAUUUGCUACUUUUCACAGGUUGGAUUUCUUGUUGGAUCCAAGAGGGUGAUAAUUUGGGCAUUUUCUAGGGUCAAUUUUGGGACAAAAUUACGUUUAUUUGCUGCUUUGUUUGGGGAUAUUUUCUGGCAUCGAUUACAUUAUUGAGUUGGCCAUUUGCUUUAGUUUUUCCCUGUGACUCACCAGUGGUACUGGUUGAGAUUUUUGGCCUAUCGUUGUGGCUCCUAUUUGAAGAUUCUUGCUUAUUUGAAAGUUUAAGUUCUUGUGAUUGGGUUGCUGCCGUUGAAUUUAAUUCUUUCCUGUCUAUGCACCAGUGGUACUGGUUGCAAUGUUGCUUUCCAUUUCUUAAUCCUCUGUGCUGGACUGCCUAUUCGAUUCUUGAGUUUUGGUGCCUGAACCAUUUCUGAAGUGUACCCUUGGCUAGAGUUUUCCCUUAAUUAUUUCUCUUAAUCAAUUAUUUCCUGCAGUUAAUUUAUUUAGUUAGUAUUUAAUCCAAAAACCCCCCAUACUUUGGACUCUAGAAGAAACGAAUUAUCCCCAGUCCCUGUGGAUUCGACCCUACUCACCGCUAUAUAUAAAAUCUGUAUUUUUCUCGAGUAGGUAUUUAUUAUUGCACAGGUUCGGCACCUGUCAGGCGGUGUGGUGCCUUUGUAAACCAAAAGGAACAAAAUUAAGACACCCACAAAGAGGAGAAGACUUACGAACAACCAGAGUCUCAAAUUUAAAGAUGUGAGCUGACACCGCUGCUACACACCAGAAAAACCAACCACAUAAACAACAGAAUUAAGGAACAAAACUUAUCUCAAGCUAAACCACCACAAAUAGUUGUAAUUGAAGACCAUUCUUGAAUGCUGAGUAUAAAGGGAAAAAAAAAUCCCAAUCCCAGAAGCAGGGGAGAAUCUAAAGAGUGUGAAAGAGAAGGCAUUGGAACAACCAUAACCGAUACUCAGACAUUAAUUCAUUAACAUACCCACGUUUAUGGCUGUUAAAUUGAGAUGUAAAUGACAGAAAAAAUGGGUUGUUUCUGACGUGAGCUUUAACAUCUUUGGGAGUUGCGCAAGUGAUCGGACAUAAGUUGUUUCAAAUAAAGAAAUAUCCUCAAACAGUUAUUUUUGCCUCAAAAGUUACACUUCAAUUAAAUGUGUCUAUAAUACCAUUUCAGUAUUUCUACAACAUAUAAGUUUAUAUGUGUUGUACUCUAUGCAAAAACGGUUGCAAAAUAAUUACACAUUCCACAAAUACCCAGUUGUCUUCAUAAAUCAAAACUUUAAAUGUAUUAAAAUGAGGACAUUUUGGUAAACAUGCCUAAACACAUGCUGUUCUCAGUUGUACCAAAAUUUUUAAAAAAACUACACAACAUUCCACAUUCUCAAAAAGUUCUAUUCAUCCAGUUGAAAUUCAAAACCUCUUUUAACCACAACUCAUUCUUAUAUAGUAUAAGGAUAUCUCAUUCAAUUUUUUUAUGACGUCACAAGGAAAAAGAGAAAAGAAUUGGUCACAAAUAUUUUUUUAAUCGAUAUUGAGUCAUAAAUCUUGAACAAUGUGUGGAUGAACAGAAUCUGCCUUUUUUUUCUUAAAAACAUAAAAAAGGGAAAAAGAAAUCAUAACAGCAGUGUUUUGAAAAUCGAAACAGACCGGCCGGUUUGAUGGGUUGAACCUCGAAUCAGCCAUGACAGUGGUCCAUUCUAUACUAAAGUUGAAAGCGUCAAAUAACUUAUCAAAAUUGGUCAAACUCAUCAAAACCGGUAAAUCUAGUCGAACCGGUGAUUCUCGAUUUUUCAAAGGAUUGAACUUGGACCUUUUCUAUUAAAGCCUAGCAUGGUAACCAGUGCACAAUCACAUCCAAUUAGUCUCUUUUGAGAACACAUUUAUGUAAAACAAACUUUCAUCUUUCUUUCCUCUGUUUUUUUUUUACAAAAUUUUAUUCUCUCAUGACUCUUUUCUUUUUAGUCUUCAACUCUCUUUCUCUAUCUCCUCUUUUCUUUUGUCACCCCUUUUUUAAUCCAACCUUUUUAGUUUUAAUUUAUUGAUAUUUUUUUCCAUCUUUUGUUUUUGUCUAUUAAUUAAAAAAAUUAAAAAAGAAUUGUUAUUCUUUAACCUUAAAAACUGAUUAUUAAAUGCCACAACCACUCACUUUUAUCUCAUUUUUUUUUUCUUCUUAUCAAGUUUGCAUCUCUAUUUUCAAUUCUCCUGACUUUCUUCAAACUCCAAAAUUCUUUUUUUUUUUAAGUUGCAAUUUCUAAAUUCCAAAAACGUGAAUUAAAAUUUAAACUCACAAUGUCUAAUUCUCAUAGACGUGAGUUUUAUAUAAUUUCAAAAUACUGUGGUAUUUUUAGAUUGGAUUUAAGAUUAUUUUUUUGGUAGAUAUAAUUGAGAUUGAGAUGACAUUUAUUUGUUUCUACUCAUAAUUUAAAAAUUUUAUUUUUGAAAAUCCAAAUUCUUUGAAAAUAUUAAAUUUUUUAUCAUAUAAAGUUUUAAAUUAGUCCACUGCAUGUCUUAUUUUGUGUAUAUAUAUUUAUAUAAAUUAUUUUGUAAAAAAUUCAUUGAACCGGUCCGACCGAUUGAAUCUUGACCCGAAUACCUCACCUGUUCAAUUAACGGUUUGAGUUUUAAAAUAUUGCACAGGAGUUAGAGGGAUGAAUAUUGAGGUGAUGAAGUAGAGGUGAUAAGAACAUACCAUAUUUCCCAAAGGCUCCAAGAUAUUGAGGCAUAACACUUGGUAAGGUGUCGUCAGAGAUAUUAUUAUUCUUGGUUUGGGCUUCUUUAUGCAGGGUUGACAUCUCUUUGAAGACUCAUGGAGCAGCUUGUAAGGGUUUCCUCUGAAACCCUUGUUCUUUUAGAAGUUUCUCGAGCUUCCUCGGCCUAAACCAUACCCAGUUCAAUGCUUGCCAUGACACUACUACUACUAGAAGAAGAAGAAGAAGAAGACAAGAAGAAUAUACAGUAAACAUUGACACAUAGAUGGUUUCCAUCAUGUGUUUUUGUUUUGUUGGUUUUCUUGUGAGAUUUCUACCUCUGUUGUGUGUAUAUUUACAUUGGAGUGGGGGCUAUGCAUCCAUUUACUUCAAGACAAAGGAAAUGAUUAAGAAAUAAAAGAGAUGAUAAUUAUCGAAAGUGAAGGGAGAAAAUUUGACCUAGAUGAUGUUCCUAUGUGGCUAUGAUACAUCAGGUGGAGCCUAUUCCCAAAUUUUGGAUUUUAGAGCAAUUAUCCGGUGCAGAUAAAGCUGGAUCCUAUAAAUUUGAAACUUGUUACUAAAGUCAAAUUUUUUUGUUCCAUGUUCUUUAAAACUCUGAACAUUUAUUUUUCUUUUCCUUUUUUCUUGGGAUCACAAAAAAAACUGAGUAUUUGUUUCAUCAAACUAAAGAACCCUUAUAAAGUAAUCUUAGUAUAUAUAAAACCUCGUGUCUAAGCUACGCUAACUUGUAAUAAUGUUUGAUGAAUUUUCAUCUCUUUUGUCAACUAUUCUUGUUCCAUAAUUUAUAGUGGUCGUCGGGGAUGACAAGUAGAUUUUUAAAAAAAAAAAUCACAAAAGAAGUAAGAAUGUAUGAAAUAUUGUUUGCUUUUAGGAUAAUAAGAAGUUGACCCAAAACUAACAGAAAAUGCGUUGCAAAAUCGCCGCCAGCACGUCCUUGCUAGUCCGGGUACAUGCUGAAUGAGAUCAUUGUCCAAACAAGCAGCACAGCAAUGGUCUCGAGCCCAGAAAAAUACAACGCCUUGCACUCCUCAAUAACUUCUCUUGUAAUUGUUCAAAAUUUCAUCAUGUCCAAGUUCCAAAGGAGAUCGACUUACCACUAAGAAAUAUUUUUUUAAUACUAGCUAAUAAAAUUUAUAGAGUCUACUAAUUAAUGUUUGAGAACAGCUGUUAAAUGAUUUUUAAGCCAUGACAAGCCAUUUGUUUUCUCGAUUAUCAAAGAAAAAGGAAAGAUCUCUUGCAAAAUCAAACCAAUAGAUGCAAUAUUUCUCUCUUCAUUCGCCGUGAGAAAAACAUUAGCAUUCUGUUUCAAUGCAUAGUAUCCAAAUCUUCAUUCUCUUGCAAAAUCUGUACUGCUAUAUUCAAACAGAUUCAUUGACAUAUCAUAUUGGGCGAGACUUGAACUAGUUUACAAGCAAAGUUAAGCAUAGAAACAAAAACUAUAUCUUCUGCAAAAUCAAGUGAGCUCCAGACUGGGGUUGAACUAGUGCUGUAGCUGUUCCAGGAGCAUGAGUAUAAGACGGUGAGAGUUCAAAGGAGAAGCGUUGCAGAAUCAUAGACAUUGCCAAUUUUGCUUCCAACAUGGCAAAAUUUUGUCCAAUGCAAAUGCGAGGUCCCCAGCCAAAUGGAAAGUAUGCAACCUGGCCCUUUGUUGCAUGUGAUACUCCUUCAGCAAACCUCUCAGGCUUGAAUUCCUUCACAUCCUCGCCCCAUUUAUCAGGGUCAUGAUGCAUCAGCACUAUUGGUAAGGUGAGUUGCACUCCAGCCGGGAGAGUUAAAUUUCCUAAUUUAGUUUCUUCAAUAGUUCUUCGACUCAUUGUAGCCAAUGGUGGACACAACCUUAAAACCUCAUGCAAGAUCAUGGUGACCUAUAUAUGGGAAGGGGACCCAAAACAAACAAAAAAAAAAAAGAAAAAAAAGGUGUGAGAUAGAGUAAUUAGGAUGUCUAUGCAGAUGAGAAGCUUCGACGAACUUCGUUAAUUAGCAUGUCUCUCCUGCCAUUAGUGCAAUUUUGCAAAUCAAUGAAAUGAUCAUUGCUAAUUUUAUGUUUUUCAAAGAAAAAGAUUGGCUUACAAUUUUGAGGUGAUUUAGCCCAUCAAAGUCCGGAUCCUUAGUUCCAAAUUGUUGCAAGACCUCCUCUCUAGCACGUGCCUGCCAUUCGGGGUACCUGCAGAGUAAGACCAUUGUCCAGACAAGUAGCGCUGAAGUAGUCUCCUGGCCAGCAAAAUAGAACACCUUGCACUCACCAACAAUUUCUUCGGUAGUCAUACCAGAGUCCUUAUUUCCAUGCUUCUCGAUUUCUUGAGAAUUGGAUUGAAGCAUUAAUCCCAACAAGUCAUCAGAGCCGGCUUCUCCUGCUCUCAUUGCCUUUCUUCUUGUGUUGAUCAUUUCCCUUACUGAACCAUUAACUUCUCUGGCAAUUUGUUUCAUUCUUCUGUUCCUCUUGGUUGGCAAGAACCUAACAAAGAUCACAGUUUAGGAAAAAAAAAAAAAAAAAGCAAGAACAAACUAUGUUUGCAACAAUGGUUUUGGCUCCAUUUUUAAAUCACUUAGGCGUAUCUCAAAUGUUAAAAUUCCCAUCUAAGGCAGUCUUUCAUGAUUAUUGUCCAAUCAUGAUUUUCAAACCAUUGAUUUCUAGCAGUCACAAUUUUCUACAGCACUCAAGAAUUCAUGAUCAAUCUACCUAAAUCCUGGGAUGUUGAUGUACACCGACCGUGCUGCCUGCAUCAAAUGCUCAGUUUGCUCUCUCUGCAGCUCAAAGAUCCUUCUUCCUUCUUCAUAGUUGCUGCCAAAUGCUGUACGAGAAAUUGCAUCGCUGGAAAGAGCUUGAAGAUUGGGCCAAACAUCAACUUCAGCCAACCCCUUUGGUGAAACAACAUUCUCCCAUUUCGUCACCAUCUCACUUGCACUUUUAUAAAAGGCUGGGAGCAUAAGCUGUUUAUCCAUAAAAGAAAAGAAAAUCAGUGAAAGAAACUACUCCAUACUGAAGGCUACUUAGUAAAUAAAUGAUGCAAUUUACUAAGGACUGUCCAAUACAGAGAGUGUUUUCAAUUUUAGGAUAUCAUAAAUGUGUGUGUGUGAAUUUAUAUGAUAAUUUUACUAUAAUUUACUCGCACUAAAGAGUAUUUAUAGGUCAUCCGUUCAAAAAAAAAGAUUAAUCUUUUCUACACUGUUAGUGUAUACACAGAUGGAGUUAGAUGAAUACCACAUCAUAUGAAUUUGAAACGCCAUAAAAUGAUUAAAUUACAGAGAAGAGAACCUUCAAUUUCUCAACGUGGAAAGCUGGGUUGAGGAGCUUUCUCUGUUUGGCCCAUUUUUCUCCCUCAUAUCUGCCGAGUGGAUUAACACGGAGCUUCCGGAAAACAUCAACCUUUUGUGUAACGGCCUUUAUUAGAUUAGGGUCCAUGAUCACCACGACAGGUCUCGGCCCAAACCAUAAAUAUGUAGGAUUAGGGGCCCAAAACUGGAAAGUAUAAAUAGUUAAAUGCCUUCCACUAGGAAAGGAUAAUAAAAUCAAGUGUUUCAAAAAAUAAAAAUAAAAAUAAAAAUACAAGGCCAAAAUAUUAAAAUAAUUCAAAUUCUACAAAACUUUUUUUUCCUUUUUUUGCAUCAAUCAACCUAAUAAACUAUUUAAAGUGAUUCAAUCAGCUUAUUUCCAUCACAUUCCAUCAAAAUCUUCGAUUAAGUUAACUGGAAAUCUAUUCAGAAUGUCAAGUACGAGCAAUUGUCAGGGAUAAAAUUGACAUUUCUUCUCAUUUCAAUCUUCAUUGUCAAAUGACAUGCAUAAUUACUGAUAAUCAAUUAAUUAUUAGGAUGUCCAUAUUCUAGUAGGACGAAAUAAUAAAUAUCAGCUCUAUUGAGACCCUUUAUGACAAUUCUAAGUUGUAAAACAAUAACAAACGGAAAAAAAAUACGAAAAGACCAAGAAAAACGACUAUCCUAAAAUACAAAAGCUGAAAGGGAAAUCACAUACCCUAAUACUAUAAUAUUACUACUUUUUUUUUCCUUUCGUAUUUAAGUACGAAAUACAUCAGCCUGAAAAAUCAAUUGUCCGUGCAGGUUGGAGACAUUGUAUCUUAUUCUCUAUUUUCCUUUUUUUUAAUAUCAUAAUCACUAUCUUUCAACACCGAAAAAGAAAAAGAAUAAAAGAAAAGGAGGCAAAUGAUAUUCUAUUUAACCAAAAGGAGAGAAAAGUAAAAAAAAAAUGGAGAUCAUAUGAGGGACGAAAGAGGUUACGAGGCAAAGAGAAGGAAGCAGGGUUGACAAGAACAAUAAAUACUACCAUAUUUCUUAACGGCUCCAAGAUAUUGAGGAAUAACUCUUGGUACGAUGCUUGGAUUGGGCUUCUGUGUACAGGGUCGACAUCUCUUUGAAGUCUCCAUGGAGCAGCUUGUAAGGGUUUCCCCGGAAACCUUGCUCUUUCAGACGUUUCUCCAGCUUCUUCGGCCUAAACCAUACCCAGUUCAAAGCUUUCCAUGAUACUGCUACUACCAGAAGAAGAAGAAGACAAGAAGAAUACACAGUAAACAUUGAGACAUAGGUGGUUUCCAUGUUGUGUUUUUGUUUUGUUGGUUUUCUUGUGAGAUUUCUACCUUUGUUGUGUGCAUAUUUAUAAUAAUGCAAGCACAUAAAUCUUAAUAAGCAAAUUACCAUCCAAACAAACAUAGAAACUAGAUGACCUAUGCCAUGACGAUGGCAGAUAAUCUUUCUCCAGGAAAAAUCCAAGCUUUGUUUUCUUUCCAGGUAUGUUAAAUUUAUCCUUAAAUAUAUUGAUAGGUUGAAAUUUUAUCAUUUAUUGUAGGGGUGGGCAAAAAAAUCCGAAAAUCCGAAAAACCGAGAGAUCCGAUCCGAUCCGCACCGAAAAAUCGGAUACCUGAUCCGAUUUCAAUCAGCGGAUCAAAUAGGGUCGGGUACCCUAAAUAUUCGGAUACGGAUACGGAUCGUGAAAGUGAAAACCCACGGGUACUCGACCCGGAGGUAUAAUAUAUAAAUAUUAAAAAUAUAGGGGUAAUUGUAUAAUAUUUUAAGUUAUUAACCCUAAGUUCCUAAGCUAAAUCAAUCCAUCGGUCAUCCAUUCAGAGUUUAGCCUCAGCUUCAGCCGACACUCUUCUGUCUUCACUCAUUUCAUUUUCUUCUUCUGCUUCCCGACCUCCUUUCUCCAUCUCUUCAAUUUUGUCAAGUUGAACUCAAGCCUGCAAGCCUCAGCCCUCAAGUAGAUGAUUCAACAGAGUGUUUCGAUUUCGAUUUCUCAAGCCUCAAGCAGAAGCUGUAAAACGCCGACCUUCUUUAUCUGCAGGUUUGGACCUUCUUUAAUUGAUGGCUAUCCAGCUCCUUCAGGUGAUGGUGUAUAUUACGUGUAGGUUUGGACCUUAUUAAAAUUUUGGUUGGAGUGAUUACAGUACACUACUCCUUGCUCGAUGCUAGGAGGUAGGAAAUUGUUGUUACAAUUAGGGGUGGCAAUUUUCGACACGACCUGAAAACACGACACGAACCUAACAUGAAAUUAAUGGGUUUGGGUUGAGGUUUUGGGAAUUCGGGUCAGAAUCGGGUUGGACCCGAGGAACCCGAAAAGAAAACAGGUCGAUUUCGGGUCAACCCGUGGUGACCUGAUAUGACCCGAUAUGACCCGUUUACGAAUUAAAAAUAAUUUAAUAAAUAUAAAAAUAAUUUUAUCUAACUAACCUAAGUUAUUCUUUUUUUCAAAGGCAUUAAUUACUUAAUCAUAAAUGAAUUUAUUUAAGUUGUAUGAAGUUGAAAUUAUUAUAUUUGGACAAAUAAUAUAUUAUAUUAUUUUUUACUUUUAUACUGUUUUAAUUUAUUUUAUAUUUUGUUUGGGAUAAAACACUUUUACGGUGUUUAAUUUAUUUUAGAUUUGGUUUGGAAUUACUUAUUUAAAUUUUUAUUACUUGAUUAUGUAAUUAGUUUUGUGAGAAAUUGAUUUUAUUAGAAAUUACAGUGAUAAAUUAAUAAAUUAAAAUUAAGUUUCGGGUCAUUUCGGGUCGACCCGCCAACCCGUCAACCUGAAAUUUUCGGGUUCGGGUCAGCAUACCUGACCCGUCACUGGUUGGCGGGUCGGGUUCGGGUCAACAGAUUUUCUGACGGGUUGACCCGAACCCGACCCGCCAACCUGAUUUGGACCCGAAUUGCCACCCCUAGUUACAAUACCUCUUUUGGUGGCUUUCUAUAUUCUUGGCACUUCCACUUCUUGUGUUAAUACUGCUUUGACACAAUACCUCUGUUUAGGUCCCUGUUAUGUGUUUGGCAAUUCUCCAGCUCCACUCUGUUCCUUACACAAUCAAUCUGUUUUGUUAAUCAUUUUGGUUACGCACUUCAGGCAGUUGCUUUUGGUUUUUGAUAGGGUACUCCGUGACUCUGGCCUUCCUACUUAAUACUACUGUGCCAUAAUACAGAGUGGUCAGGGGUUGAAGUACCAUUCCCUAAUGAUGCAAUUAUCUUUUCUUUAAUUUGUUUGUGUUUACUUUUAAUAGCUAUCCAGUGAUUGCAAAAUGCAAAACAUACUACAGAUAUGUAUGCGUAUCAAACCCAAACGAGCUAGUAUAUAACCAGAGAAUGAAUAAUGUUUUCCUAUUGGAAUUGUGGAAUUGGUUUAAAGCAAUUUAUAGAUUGAAAAUUGGGGCGGGUACCCUAUGACCCGCCCCUAUUUUUCGGGUAUCCGAGGAUCGGGUACCCGAGGGAGAUCGGAGCGGAUUAGGGUCAAAAAAAUAGUGACCCGACAUGUUAGGGUUGGGUCAGCCAAUUACCGUUCGGGCCGGGUACCCGACCCGUGUCCACCCCUAAUUUAUUGUAUUAUUAAUUUCCCCCUAUUAUCUGACACGAUGUGAAUUAAUUGUUAGAUUCAACUCACUUUUGAUAUUUUAUAUUUAUUUCAGAAAGUAAAACGAAAAUACCAUAAUAAGCGCCAGUUCGACAGUCAUCAUAAAAAAAGAGUUCAACCCCAGGAGCAUUUUUGGAAAAGGGAAAGUUUUUCCCCUUUUGAUACCUGCCGAAGAUGUAGGAGGCGAAAAAACAAGCUGGACUCUCAUCUUUUUCUUCCUAGGGGUAGCCGCAAAGUAGCAGUAGUAUUUUAGAUAGGAAAUAGGAUGCAGAGAAGGAGCACAACGGAAACUUAGCCUUUGACUUUUCUUUUCGUCUUUAGCUGCUUUUCUUUUUUCCGUAGGAGUAGACAAGUUGAAGACCAAAAACAAACCAAUGAAUCAACCUCUGUAGCUUGGGUUUUUCAUCCUUAUUCUACCGCAAUUGAAUUUACUCAAUCAAGACGGUGUCGUGAAUAUUUACUUCUGAACUCUCGCGUGGGUCUUUUGCAUUGGGAAUGAACUAAAUUCCCUUUUCUAGUUAAAAAAUAAUGGAUAUUUUGAGUCGCCUAAAAUUAUGAGAUCGAUUUAAUUUUAUCUUUUCUCGUAUUUAUUGGUAUUUACAUAUUCUCCGAUUGCAGUGCUUAUGGUUAUUUAAUUAAUUGAUUAUCUUGGAUCCGGAUAGUGGAUUGAUUUAGUAACCUAUUGUCAAUUAGGGUAUUAAUUCCGUAAUUGUUUAAUUGCCUUGAAAUAGUAACAACUGGCAUGAUUGGAUUUGUGUCAGGAGAAUACGUGGGUUAAUCUAAAAUAACCCUGGUAAUGCGUCAUUCGAUUAGAAUAGGGAUCAUCUAUUACGUAAGACAAUUGGGGAAUUAAAUCUUAUGGGCGUAUUUAGGAUUAUUUCUCAAUUAGAGCAGUGAUUAACGGGCGUACCUUAAUCACCGACACAGUAAGGAGAGGUUGACUAUCAUUGCUUGUUUGGCAGUUAUAACCUAUUUAUUAGUAAAUAAUUGGAAUUGCUUGUGUAACGAUGAUCAAUUAGGUGAACCAUUGCUGAAAUUAUUUCUUGGCUAGACCUUUAAUUAUUAUUACCUUAAUUUUAGUGAAUUGUCAUUUAAUUUUUAGUUGACUAUUUUAUUUUUAGUUGAGUUGCUUUAAUUACCAUACUUUAUACAAAAACAUCCCUCGUGUUACUUUGGAUUUCAAAAGAGAUAAAUAUCCCCAGUCCCUGAGGAUAAUACCCUACUUGUCCUAUUUACAAUUAAUAAUUAUUUGUGAAAAAGUCAUCCCAUUCGGAUAUAUCGGAUCAAGUAAACUCUUCGGGAACAGGGUGAAUCAAGUAACCUAUUGCACACCUAGAGUCCCUGCUCCAGUACUUGAAAUCGAGUUUUGGUUACUUUAAUUGACAAUUAGAUUUAUUUUUCUUAUUGUACAGGCAUCGACAACCUGUCAUAUAUCUAAGCCCUUUAUGUUUUGAGCACUUUAAUCCAAACUGUAUUUUCAUCCUGUCGUGGGAGCUCAGCUAAAAUAUGAUAUUUGUGAGGUGAAAAAUAAGUUAAUAAAUUAAAACCAGAAUUCAUAAAGUCAAUUAGGUCGGUCAACGGGCCGGAUUCGAGUCGAAAUUAAUAAAUCUGGACUCGAACCCGAACCCGUCAUACUAUAUUAGUUCCGGAUCCGACCCAAAUAUCUGACGGGUCUCCUAAUCUUUCCCCCGGAUCCGGGUCAGGCCUACUUGAAAAAAGACCCGUCAAAAGCCAUUUUUUGCUACAACUUCAGAACCUGCAAAUGUAGUCUGAUUUUUAUAACAUUUUGUACAUAUUUAGGGAGGACUUGGUGGCACACAAGCCUUUGCGAAAUCAGGGGAGUUAGUUAAUUUGCUGAAGAAGCAGAAUCCAAACUUUUCUUGCCGAAAAAUACAAAUGAAAGAUGUUUUGCAGUAAAUUACAAAGUUAUUCAAAGCCAAUCACAAACUUAAAUCACAAAUUACAAAUCUAAAUCACAAACCACCCACAUGAGUAUCCCCUGCCAUUUUUUUUUUGCAAUGCUUACAUAUGGCAACAAUACCAGUAGCAGUCCUAACUCUAUCCAUAUCAAACCAUACUUUAGAUGUUAAUUUCUUUCCCUGGGUUUCUUACAUGAAUCAUCUUCCUUCACAUUCUCCUCUUCCGAAUCCAAAAUGGCAACCUCAUUCUCAUCAGCUGUGCUACUUGGUCCUGUUGGAUUACUUGGCAAAGAUGACACCCUGUAAUUAGUGAAUAACAGAAUUUAUUAGAUAAACAUGGUACAAGUUUAAAGGCUUUUUCAGAAUUUACCAAAUACUGCUGUGGAUAUGUGGUGCCUCUCAAGUUGAGAGUCUCAACAGUCCAACUAAUACAUGGAGUUUAUUUGAACACCUCGUGUGGCUGAAGCCCAAUUAAGUUGGGUUUUUUUUCUUUUGAAAACAAAUUAAGUUGGUUAAAAGCAUAAUUAGUAUGGAUCAAGCAUUUGUUGUCGACCAGACCUGUUUAUCUUAUUUGUUUUUGUAAAAAUGAGUCGAUAAUAGGAAGAGUAUUUUUGGAUUAAAAGUUUAUGAUCAAAUCCAAAAAUACUAAUAAUAAUAACAGGAAGAAAGACGUAGAAUUAUUUAAAAAAUUUUCAAUUAGCCUACGAGUCAAGUGUCCUGAUUCAUGCAAAAAGUUCAUCACAUCCAAACUGUGACUAAAAAAAAAAAUUUGUACCCCACAAGAUCGUUUUGGCCAUUUUUCUCCCAAUGAAAAUGGAAUUAAAAAGAAAGAAAAAUUAAGUAAAUCCUACAGUCUGGAACCAAGAUACCAAGUAUCUUCCACUUAUAAGAAUAAUAGCUAAUCACAGACACCAAGUUGUCUUAAAAUUUUCCCUCAAUUCGUCCAUUUGUUCCCAGGAAUUCAUGAAUUGUGAAGGAGAAUCAAAACCCAUCACUGAAGUUUCAAUAUUUAGCACAAUUUAGUAGACACAAAUAACAAACUGCUACUCAUAUUCACGGUCCUUAAAUUGCAAAGUAGCUGCUGUCUUUGACCAAACUUAUAAACAAACUUUUUGACCGUUUUCGACAAAGACAAAAUACCAGAAUGGAGGCUUUCACCUCACCAUGAUUUUUACAAAUUCUUACGGUAUUGAAAAAAAAAAAAAAUCUGUCACUAUAAGAAAGAGAGCUGGGUUGCUAGAAGCUUGGAAAAGCUGGGCUUCUUUGGAGUUGCAACCGUCAAGCGUCAGAGAUGAAGAGAGCGUCGCCGGUUUCACGGCGGACUAGCGGAGGUAGAGCAAAAAAGAAAAGAGAAAAGAGAGUAAGAGGGAAUAAGGGAUGUGCGGCGGCGGGGUAUUAGGGUUGGAAAAAUUUGGGAAUGAAAGAAGUAGUAAUGUAGUAUUGAUAUGAUAGAUUGGUAUAUAUUUUUUAAUUAUUAAUUAAUUAAAACGAGUUCGGGUCGGAUAGGGGUUGGAAUAUAUAUCCCGUAUCCGACCCGCUUUUUGUUAGAUAAAAUGGAUCCGAAUUCGGGUCCGGAUCACGAAUCUAUAUACCUAUUCAUAACUGGAAAAUGUUGGUGGGUCUCGGGUCCAGACCAUUGACAGUCCUAAAGUCAACAUACAAGAUGGGAUAAAUUAUGAUAAAUUACUAUACGAGUCCAUUGUUCUAAAAUUUUAUCACACAAUCCCUCUAUUAUUCCACAAUAUCCAAUUGAUGCCCCGUGACUUUGUGUAAAAUUCAUAUUAGCCGAAAAGCAAGACCUAAUAAAUUACAAAGGAAUGUGCAUAGUUGUUUUAAAUUUGAAUAGCUCAUUAGUCGUCUCAAUGGUUUAUUAUUCUUAUUUUCUAAAAUAAAUUUGAAGACUAAAACUUUUAAGGAGAGUUAGAUGUCUUUAAAUGGAAAGUACGUGUAGAAAGAUAAAAAGGAGUAUUGGAGUACUUGCAAAUGGCAACAAAAUAGGGAACAAAUCAAAAUGAAUUGUUAUUCAAGAAUCAUAGAGAGUUCCAAAAACAAAUUUUUUUUUGAGAGCAAGCAAAUUAAUUAAGUUGUUACAUGGUAGUCCUUUUUAAGUAUAGAGCAAAACUAUGGCCCUUUGAGUGGAGUGGUUUUUACCAAUUUGGCUAAGCUUUGCAAUUGCUAUGCUCAAUUUUGUUGUCGAUUUCAUGUGACUAUUUAAAAUUGGCAUGCCAUAAAGGCCGAAGAGUGGGAAUUGCUAUAUUAAAAUUUUAUAGUUUCGAUUAAACUUCGUAUUACCGUCUCAAAGUAGAGAAAAUGAGCAUAUCACUAACAGCAAAAUGAGGUUAACAUAUGCAUUUCAUUUUUUUUCCUAACAGGGGAGGUAUGGGGGUUUAAGAAGUAGCGAGGGAAAAAGGGAGAUUAUAACCUAAAAACUCUAUAUUUAGGGUCUCAACCUUCAAAUUUAGUCACUAAGCCAAUGUCUUCUCGACGCAUAUUCAUUUCAUUUGAUGAUUCUAAGUGGCCUUGCAGUGGAUAGUUAAUCAGAGCUGGACUAUGACCUUAACCCUCAUUUGGAAAAAAAUUUAGCUUUAAUUAUUUAAUGUAUUCAAAAUUGCAUUCAAGGCUGCAAUCAAAUUGACAUCACAAUUCGAUCUAGGUUACGGUGCAGCCAUUGCCAGUUGAAUCAUAGGCAUAUUUUGUAUUUACGAUCUCGAUUGUUAUGAAAAAGAAGUCAGAAUCGGCUUUGAAAUCCAUUCUUAAUUGUUUCUAGCAGAAAAAAGAAGAAUGAGAAAAUAUUUUGGACCCACAUUAGAGCACAUCUAUGUCGAGUAACUACAUAGUAUUGCUAGCCAAGAAAAAUAAAAUGAAGAUUUAAAACGCCACGUUAACUGCCUUGUCUUUUAUUUCCCCACUAUUUUGUUAUCUUAAAUUGAUAUUACAACAAUCAUUAUAACAUUUUAAACGAUAAUAACAAUAUAUAUAUAUAUAGGUAAUCAUAUUUUUCACACAUUUCCUCAGAGUUGGAUUAUGCAACGGUCAAACCACAAUAUUCUAAAAGUUUUGGUCUUAAAAGUCAUUCUUCUUUUAUUUGACUAAUUCUUCCUGCCGGCCUACUUUUCUUCCGCCUAAAAUUGCUCCCCACUUGUUCGUAUUCUUCUUAUGUUCUAUUCCGCGACCUUUUCCAUUUCCUACAUUGUUAAGCCGUGGAACGAAUUGCGAGCCUGCAAUGUUCAAAAUAUCAAUCUUCAAAUAACUUCAUAGCAAAUUAAACAAAGAUUGAUAACAAGAUUUCUUGUUUUACAGUUUCUUCAAGAUCAAAUGAGCUCCAUACUGGGGUUGAAGAGUGAGCACAACUUGAGGAGCAUGUGCAUAACUCGGCGAAAGCUCCCAAGAAAAGCGCCGUAAGAUCAAAGCCAGCGCCAUCUUUGCUUCCAGCAUAGCAAAAUUUUGCCCCAUGCAAGUUCGAGGUCCCCAACCAAAUGGAAAGAGCGAGAGAUUGCCUUUUGUAGCCUUUGAAACUCCCUCACUGAAUCUUUCUGGAUUAAAUUCCUUCGCAUCAUCACCCCACAAGUCUUUGUCCUGCUGCAGCAAGACUCGGGCCACAAAGAUGAACAUUCCUUCUGGCAGUGACAGUUCGCCUAAUUUAGUUUCUUCGGGAAUCAUUCGAAAAAGCAUCGCUGCCGGUGGAUAUAGCCUUAGAACCUCGUUAAGGAUCAUAGUAACCUUCGAAAAAUAAACGUAAACAGAACAAUGAUUAGUGGUGAUUGGAUCAACUAUCAAAAAAGUGCUAAGAUGGGAACAUAAUUUUGCAAGUUAUACUUACAAUUUUGAGGUGAUUUAAUUUACUAAUAUCAGGUUCAUUGUUGUCAAAAACCUGUAGAACCUCAUCUCUGGCACGAGCCUGCCAAUCAAAAUGUUGACUCAAUAAAAUUAAUGUCCAGGCGAGCAAUCCUGAGGUUGUCUCUUGUCCAGCCAAAUAGAAUAGCUUGCACUCCUCAAUGACUUCUUCAAGGCUCAUGCAGUUCUUAUUUCCAUGUUGUCGGAUCUCAUUAAAAUUGGAUUCCAAUAAAAUACGCAACAAGUCAUCACUUGUAGCUUCACCUGUUUGAAUUUCCUUCAGCCUUUCGUUGAUAUUGCCCAUAACUAAUGAGUUUACUUCCUUGAAAAUCUUCUGCAUUCUUUUGUUUCUUUCUGUUGGCACAAAACUGAAUGCAAAAUAGCAAUAACCAAAUAAGCUAAAUGAUACAAUUACAAACUAGAAAUUGAAAGACAGUACCGUACCUCCACCCUGGAAGGCAAAUGGAUUGCAUAACUUGCUCAAUAUACAAAGCCUGUUCUCUUUGGAGUUCAAAGAUCCUUCGCCCUUUUUCAUGGUUGCUACCAAAAGCUGUUCUUGAAAUUACAUCACCAGUAAAUGUUUGAAGAUAAGGCCACACAUCUAAUUCAAAAGAUCCUUCUGCGGGGGCAAGGUUCUCCCAUUUGCUUAACAUCUCAUUACAACUCAGAUAAAAUGCUGGCACCAUGUACUAUAUGUGAAGAAUCAACAGCGCAAGUCUUCCAGCUUUUAUGUUCUUCAUUAAUCAAAAAGUAAGAAUGGAAAUAUUAUUCAGUGAAAUUUUAAAAUUGGAAAGGCUGCAUUUGGUUCUCUAUCCGGACUAGAUUGGAACCAUAACUACAUUUAUAUGAUGCAAUACCAAACACUAGCCAGUCCCAUGUCUGAUAAAUAACAAGAAACGGCCAAAAGCGUGUAAGAUAUUGAAACAGCACCAAAUUUCAGCAGAAAAAGCUAGAAACAACCUUCAAUUUCUCUACAUGAAAUGCAGGAUUCAAUAAUCUUCUGUGUUUGGCCCAUUUUUCUGUAUCCAGGCUAGCAAGUCCUAGUGCUAGAAGUUUACUGAAUGGAUUUGCCCGAGGCUUCUGAUAAGUAAAAUAUUUUGCGAAGACCUCCUUUACUUGUUCAGGAUCCAAGAUAACCAUUGCCGGCCUUGGUCCAAGCCAAAAAAAGCUAUUUUUACCUACAAAAUAAUUUUUGAUAAGCAACUUAUCCACUCUUUAAAAAAAAAGAUUGGGUCAACCCAUAUAUGAAAUGCAUGAUUGCCGAAAAACACAGCAAACCAAAUAGUCUUCGGGCAAAUUUGGAGAACAAACCUUUAUGUUGCAUUGUUUCAUUGAUGAAGGGCAUGAUUCUAGGCAAGAUAUCAUCUGUUAAAGAAAUUGGUUUGGACUUAGCCUCCUCAAGCAUCCUUCCCAUGUCUCUGGUGUCUCCAAACAAGAACCCGUAAGAGUUUCCCUGUAGACCUUGCCGCCUGAGGCGUUUCUCCAUCUUCUUUGGUGUGAUCCAAGCCCAAUUCAAGAAUCUCCAUGCCCCGAUGAGAAGAACUAUGACUGAUGAAGCUCCAAUCGAGCUAUAGAAAAAUUCCAUUUUCUCUGAUGCGCUUCCACUCCUUCAGUCAAACUUUCUGCUGGCAGGGGGAACUUGCUAAGCGGUUAGUUAUUAAGGACGGAGAACCUCAACUUUGGGACACAUCAUUCUGAAAUCUAUGCAUAUCCAUCUGUAAAAUCGGUAAAGACAAAGUAGCUAUAAGUCAUAAUUUGUGCUAAAUUUAUAAUUAUUUUUUCCUUUGAUUUUAAUCAAAUAUUAUUUUAAUUGAUAUAUUCUACUAAUAUUUGGUAUUUGGGAUUAAUUGCAGGAAGUGGUGAAGAAAAAGUACCGAAAAUCGUCAUUCCAGCAGAUUUCCUAUAGUUUGGCGUGCCCACGCCUAACUCCAGCUUUGACGGAUUUUCGGGAUGAUUUGCACACGCGAAAGCUUCCAAAACUAAAUAAAGCAGCGGACUACAAUGCUGAAAAGCAGUGGGGCCAUUUCAAAAGCUGAAGAAAGCUAUCUAUAAUAGGAUUCCUAUUGUUUAGGAAAAUCGGUACAUUUUGAAGGAGAGAAAUCAGGAUGGGAAUCUGUUUGUUCUCUCGGUGGGCCUGGCCUAAAAGGAAAUGGAUUUCCUUCAUCCCUUUGAGUGGCUAAAAACGUAGAGGAUUAGGAGACUUAGGGAGGCUUGUCUUUAAAUUUGUUUUUACUUGGAAAAGCUGGGGGGAAGGUACGGAGGUCGGGGACUUUUCCUCGUAGCCGACUUUUACUUUUCUUCCUUGGCCGAUUUGGCCAGGAACAAUUUGGUAAGAUUCAGAUAGCUUUUUCGCAUGGUUGUUCUCCGUUAAUGGAGAACUAACCUUCUAAUUCUAGUCAAAGGACAACUGAAGAUUUGGUUCUGUAAUUACUAUGAGAUCGAAUUUAUUUUAAUCGCUUUCUCAUUUAUUGGUAUUUAUAUGAUUCCUGUUUUUAAUUGUUAUAACUCUUGUGUAUGAUUGAUUAGUGCGCAAUAAUUAAUUAUUCAUAUAGGUUAUUUUGCUAAAUAGGGGUAAUUGAAUCCGUAAUUGUUCGUUACCUCUAUCCCAGUAGCAAUUGGCGUAAUUGGGUUUAUGUCAGGGAAACAUACGAUCUAAUUUAAACAAAUCCUCUUAGCGUGUUUGUAGGUUAGGAUUGGGCCUUUCUAAUUUUUAAUGCAAUCUAGAAAUUAAAUCCUACGGUCGUACCUAGGAUUGUUUUUGGGUUAGGGAAAUAGUUAACGGUCGUACCUUAGCUAUCGAUAAAUUAAGGAAGGGUUGGUUGUUUAUCGCGUGCAUGACAACUAUAACCAAUCUAUUAAUAAAUGUGGAAUUAUCUGCGAAUCGAUGAUCAGUGCAUGAACCAUUUCUGAAGUGUACCCUUGACUAGAGUUUCUUUUACUUAUUUCUCUUAAUCAAUUAUUUUCUGCAGUUAAUUUAUUUAGUUAGUAUUUGAUCCAAAAACCCCCAUACUUUGGACUCUAGAAGAAACGAAUUAUUCCCAGUCCCUGUGGAUUCGACCCUACUCACCGCUAUAUACAAAAUCUGUAUUUUUCUCGAGUAGGUUUUUAUUAUUGCACAGGUUCGGCACCUGUCAGUAGCUUGAAGGUAUGUUCUAUGUUUACGGCAUCUGCAUAAAUGGAGAUGCUCUGCGACUUCAACACUCACCUAUAAAGGACAUUUGAGCCCUUAAUAUUCUUGUUUAUGGUAAAAUGAUUUUUCUACUCGUUCACUUAAAUUACGCUUAAUUUACUAUAUGAACACACAUAAUACAAUUAUUAUAUCCUCUGUAUUUAAACGCUUUCCUAGUAACUACACUUUUUUUUUAAAAGAAAAAUUAGCACUCUUGAGGCCCCCCUAACAGAGGUGACGAUAAAGGAGAACAAAUCAACAUAGCUCGAUUAUCCUGCAAGCCUCGCAAAUCAUCAUCAGAAGUCUUUUUCUAUCUGCCUUCUAGAAGAGAGUCAGUUCAAUAAACAAAGUGCCCUAAUGUAAUAGAUGCAGAUUAGGAGUAUCAAAGUCUUUUUCAUUUAAAAAUAGCAAGAGAAAUUCAAGGGUUUGCAAAUUAGCUAAACAAAGUGCUGCAAAUUGAUAGCACAAGGUACAGAGGUCCUAAAACUGAUAAUUGAAGAUAGUUUAGGGGAAAAUGUUGCAAUAAGCUUUGGAUGUAAUUUUAAAUACUUGAGCAUGAGAAGGUCGCAUGUUACAGUCUUGACUCUCAAUGGUUUGGAAACAAAAAGAUCAAUGUGAAAUUUGUUUUUGAUCAACUGCAUCCUCUAAUGCGGUUCAUUAAUAAACAUAAUAAGAAAUCCCAGAACAUUAACAUUUGUCCUUUUUAACCUAUUAACAUUAAUACUUUGCAAAAUAGCAAUAACUCCAAAAUCUUCUUGUAAUUGCACCAAAAGUUUGUUAAACCUUACAGAAGCAGCAACCUAAAAGGCUAGCAAGAUAAGCAACAUGUAGCAAUUACAGAAGUUCAGUCACAUAAUCAAUAACACACAGACAUAGUUCAAGUCCUGGAUUCAGAUAACAGUUUUAUAUUACAGUUUCUUCAUAAUCAACUGAGCACCAUACUGAGGUUGAAGCAGGGUACGAAACAAGUAUGGGGCAUGCGUAUACAAUGGAGAAAGCUCAAAGGAAAAGCGCUGUAAAAUUAGAGCUAAUGCCAUAUUUGCUUCAAGCAGAGCAAAGUUUUGCCCAAUGCAUAUCCGAGGUCCCCCACCAAAUGGCAGAAAACACUGCUGGCCCUUAGUAGCCUUUGCAACUCCCUCGCUAAAUCUCUCCGGGUUGAAUUCCUUUGCAUCAUCACCCCAUAAACUUGGAUCAUGAUGUAGCAAGAUUGAAGGCAUCAAGACAAUCAUUCCAGCAGGUGGAGAUAGUUCCCCUAAUUUAGUGUCUUGGUUAACCCUCCGGGAAAUCAUAACUCCUGGUGUAUAUAGUCUUGGAACCUCAUUAAGGAUCAUAGUCACCUGUAAAAGAAGAAUUACAAACCGAUGCUUAAAUGGAGUGUGAACUUCGUUCCAAGAGAAGAAAAUUGUAAGAUAAGUAUCCAGACAAUGUCAACUAAUAGCUGGUCCCUACUAGAAAGCAGAAACAUUACACUACACUCGGAUAUCGUUGUGCUUCAGGUAAUGGCAAAAGUAAAACGUGUCCUGAGUGAAUGGAAUGUUAAGCUAUGAUAUUCCUUAUGAAGUCUUCUGCAUCCGAACCCACGAAACUAAUUAUUCAUCAAAAGAGAACCUAAAAAACAAGUCUGAAAUGUGGCCAACAUUCAUGAUAUUCGAGUUUAGUCACUGCAGAUUGGUGAUACAAAACUGAAAUUCUUGAAUAAUAUCAAACUAUUCUGUCAUCAGAGCUUAUCCUCUUGAUAAAUUGAAGCUACUUACAAUUUUCAGCCAAUUUAAAUCUUCAAAAUCCGGUAUAUUGUUGCCAAAGACCUGAAGAACCCAUCCCUAGCACGAGCUUGCCAGUCUGAAUGCUUGCUCAACAAAAUUAGCGUCCACACAAGCAGGAUUGCAGUUGUCUCAUGUCCAGCAAAAAAGAAUAGCUUGCACUCCUGAAUGACCUCUUCAGAAGUCAGUCCAAACCUUUCAUUCCCAUGUUCUUGGAUCUCCUUGAAGUUGGGUUCUAGAAGUAAACCCAACAAGUCACUAUGAAAAUUUUCUUCAUAUUUUUUGUUUCUUUUACGGAAUAUCUAGUAAUGUGAUAGGACGAUUUUCUGCAGCAAAUCAGCCUUGGAUUGAUCUCUUUAUAGAUUAAGAGAUGUCACAUGUUGGUUAUAAUCAUCCAAGUGAUGACCUCUCAUUACUAAAGGAGUUACUUCUAUUCUAAUAGUACUUUAAUGAUUAAUUGUAGUACUUCACACUUGAAUGAACAGCCACAAAUUUUGUUAUUUUGUGAACCUUGAGACCUUUCAUCUUUUGAAAAUCUCCAACAAAUUCAUGGUGAUUAAAAAUUUUGCAAAUAAAGUCAACUCAACUGAGAUAAUUAGAUUCUCUGUAGUUUAAUUUCUUCAACAAAUGUUUGACCAGGAAGAAAAAAUGGUGAGUAUAGCCUUAAAACCUCAUGCAAGAUCAUUGUGAUAUGUGAGAAAUGGAAGGAGACUACUUAAGACAAUUUAUUGGCAUAUGAGAAGCUGCAACCUAUCAUGAGUUGACUUAUAUCUUUUAGGUUAAAAGUUCUUUUACGUACAAUAUGCCAUGGAUUUUGGUAUAUAAUUGACUGAAAAUCUUUUAGGUUAUACAGACCAUCAAAUUGUGAUAUUUUUGGUCCCAGCAAUGUGUUGCAAAAUCUAUUCUCUAGCACGUUCUUGCUAGUCUGGGCAGAUGCUGAAUACAACAGCUUACACUCUUCAAUAAUUUCUCUUGUAAUCGCACAGAAUUUCGUCUUGUCUAAGCUGCAUUGGAGAUCCACUUACCACGAAGAAAUAUUUUUGAAUACUAGCUAAUAAGAUUUACAGACUACUGAUUAAUGUUUGAGAACAGCUGUUAAAUGAUUUUAAGCCAUGACAAGCCAUUUGUUUUCUCCAUUAUCAAAGAAAAAGGAAAGAUCUCUUGCAAAAUUAAACAAGCAGAUGUAAUAUUUCUCUCUUAAUUUGCCGUGAGAAAUACAUUACGUGAAUCUGUACUGCUAUAUUCAUACAGAUCCAUUGACAUACCGAACUGGGCGGGACUUAAACUAGUUUACAAGCAAAGUUAAGCAUAGAAGAUGGUGCUUUAUUUCGUUAAAAGAUAAUCUGCUGCCACAUACCGGGCUAGCAAGUCAAGUCAUAUAUAUGAAACAACAAAAACUAUAUUAUCUUCUGCAAAAUCAAGUGAGCUCCAUACUGGGGUUGAACUACUGCUGUAGCUCUUCCAGGAGCAUGAGUAUAAGAUGGUGAGAGUUCAAAGGAGAAGCGAUGCAGAAUCAUAGACAUUGCCAAUUUU
RNAcentral lists this long non-coding RNA (31763 nucleotides) under Coffea arabica (coffee). Its description in RNAcentral is "long non-coding RNA (CARA_LNC003576)". The record is from RNAcentral. Lineage: Eukaryota; Viridiplantae; Streptophyta; Magnoliopsida; Gentianales; Rubiaceae.